Molecule: ribosomal RNA, 500 nt
Filed under: uncultured bacterium
Lineage: Bacteria
Description: partial 16S ribosomal RNA
Rfam family: Bacterial small subunit ribosomal RNA
Source: RNAcentral
AUUGAACGCUGGCGGCAUGCCUUACACAUGCAAGUCGAACGGCAGCGGGGACUUCGGUCCGCCGGCGAGUGGCGAACGGGUGAGUAAUGUAUCGGAACGUACCAUUCAGUGGGGGAUAACUAUCCGAAAGGAUAGCUAAUACCGCAUAUUCUGUAAGCAGGAAAGCAGGGGAUCGCAAGACCUUGCGCUGAUUGAGCGGCCGAUAUCAGAUUAGCUAGUUGGUGAGGUAAAGGCUCACCAAGGCGACGAUCUGUAGCGGGUCUGAGAGGAUGAUCCGCCACACUGGAACUGAGACACGGUCCAGACUCCUACGGGAGGCAGCAGUGGGGAAUUUUGGACAAUGGGGGCAACCCUGAUCCAGCCAUGCCGCGUGAGUGAAGAAGGCCUUCGGGUUGUAAAGCUCUUUCGGCCGGGAAAAAAUCGCAUGAAUUAAUACCCUGUGUGGAUGAUGGUACCGGAAUAAGAAGCACCGGCUAACUACGUGCCAGCCGCCGCGGUAA